This 253-nucleotide ribosomal RNA is filed under the name uncultured bacterium. RNAcentral's name for it is "partial 16S ribosomal RNA". It matches the Rfam family "Bacterial small subunit ribosomal RNA", at positions 524 to 776 of the family's 1533-position model. The record is from RNAcentral.
UACAGAGGGUGCAAGCGUUAAUCGGAAUUACUGGGCGUAAAGCGUGCGCAGGCGGCUUUGCAAGACAGAUGUGAAAUCCCCGGGCUUAACCUGGGAACUGCAUUUGUGACUGCAUGGCUAGAGUGCGGCAGAGGGGGAUGGAAUUCCGCGUGUAGCAGUGAAAUGCGUAGAUAUGCGGAGGAACACCGAUGGCGAGGGCAAUCCCCUGGGCCUGCACUGACGCUCAUGCACGAAAGCGUGGGGAGCAAACAGG